CUGGAAAGAUGGACUUGUUUAUUCUGAGAUUUAUACACCUCGGCAGGCACAUGUAGCCGGUUGGACACAUAAACAUGACACUGUGAGAUCAUCACAGUGAUACUGUGAGGCAGGCAGGGCAGGGACGAUCGGGCCCCUCCUGCAGAUGAGGGGGCCCUCAGCAACGUCGAGACACCUGCCAGGCAAUAGUCUGCAUGGGCAGAGCCAGGAGGCCACCGGCACCUGCUGACAUAUCAUGCUGCCUCUCAGGAUACGGACGAAAGAAGAGAGGAAGGAAACCAGGAUCUUAAAAGACAAAAAGACACCAAGAGUGCUUGUGUGCAGAGGGAAGAUCUUGCAAGGGCACACUGGAGGAGACAGCCAUCUGCAAACCAGAGAGAGAGGCCUCAGGAGGCACCAAACCUGCCGACCCCUGCUCUGUGACAUCCAGCCUCCAGAACUGUCCCUGAGCAACGGGAUGUGACGAGCCCCUGUUAUCCUGGACCUCCCCACUAGUCUCCCAUCUCCAGAACAAUCCGCGUUCCAGCUUCCUCCCCGGGUGAGACACUAUAAACAUGUACCAGGGAACAGGGGGAAGGAGGUGGCAUGAAAAGUAAAGGAAAUGUCCCAGAUGGAUCCAAA
Molecule: long non-coding RNA, 621 nt
Organism: Neofelis nebulosa (Clouded leopard)
Lineage: Eukaryota; Metazoa; Chordata; Mammalia; Carnivora; Felidae
Exons: 3
Source: RefSeq, a predicted model, not a curated record